RNAcentral lists this ribosomal RNA (354 nucleotides) under uncultured bacterium. RNAcentral describes it as "bacterial SSU rRNA". It matches the Rfam family "Bacterial small subunit ribosomal RNA", at positions 30 to 390 of the family's 1533-position model. The record is from RNAcentral.
AUUGAACGCUGGCGGCAUGCCUUACACAUGCAAGCCGAACGGCAGCGGACCUUCGGGUGCCGGCGAGUGGCGAACGGGUGAGUAAUAUAUCGGAACGUACCUUUCAGUGGGGGAGUAACGUAGCGAAAGUUACGCUAAUACCGCAUAUUCUGUGAGCAGGAAAGCAGGGGAUCGCAAGACCUUGCGCUGAUUGAGCGGCCGAUAUCAGAUUAGCUAGUUGGUGAGGUAAAGGCUCACCAAGGCGACGAUCUGUAGCGGGUCUGAGAGGAUGAUCCGCCACACUGGAACUGAGACACGGUCCAGACUCCUACGGGAGGCAGCAGUGGGGGAAUUUUUGGACGAAUAGGCGGCGAA